AGUGAACGCUGGCGGUAGGCCUAACACAUGCAAGUCGAACGGCAGCACAGUAAGAGCUUGCUCUUACGGGUGGCGAGUGGCGGACGGGUGAGGAAUACAUCGGAAUCUACUUUUUCGUGGGGGAUGACGUAGGGAAACUUACGCUAAUACCGCAUACGACCUACGGGUGAAAGCAGGGGAUCUUCGGACCUUGCGCGAUUGAAUGAGCCGAUGUCGGAUUAGCUAGUUGGCGGGGUAAAGGCCCACCAAGGCGACGAUCCGUAGCUGGUCUGAGAGGAUGAUCAGCCACACUGGAACUGAGACACGGUCCAGACUCCUACGGGAGGCAGCAGUGGGGAAUAUUGGACAAUGGGCGCAAGCCUGAUCCAACCAUACCGCGUGGGUGAAGAAGGCCUUCGGGUUGUAAAGCCCUUUUGUUGGGAAAGAAAAGCAGCAGGUUAAUACCCCGCUGUUCUGACGGUACCCAAAGAAUAAGCACCGGCUAACUUCGUG
This 492-nucleotide ribosomal RNA is filed under the name uncultured bacterium. RNAcentral's name for it is "partial 16S ribosomal RNA". It matches the Rfam family "Bacterial small subunit ribosomal RNA", at positions 29 to 507 of the family's 1533-position model. The record is from RNAcentral.